RNAcentral lists this ribosomal RNA (492 nucleotides) under uncultured bacterium. RNAcentral's name for it is "partial 16S ribosomal RNA". It matches the Rfam family "Bacterial small subunit ribosomal RNA", at positions 29 to 507 of the family's 1533-position model. The record is from RNAcentral.
AGUGAACGCUGGCGGUAGGCCUAACACAUGCAAGUCGAACGGCAGCACAGUAAGAGCUUGCUCUUACGGGUGGCGAGUGGCGGACGUGUGAGGAAUACAUCGGAAUCUACUUUUUCGUGGGGGAUAACGUAGGGAAACUUACGCUAAUACCGCAUACGACCUACGGGUGAAAGCAGGGGAUCUUCGGACCUUGCGCGAUUGAAUGAGCCGAUGUCGGAUUAGCUAGUUGGCGGGGUAAAGGCCCACCAAGGCGACGAUCCGUAGCUGGUCUGAGAGGAUGAUCAGCCACACUGGAACUGAGACACGGUCCAGACUACUACGGGAGGCAGCAGUGGGGAAUAUUGGACAAUGGGCGCAAGCAUGAUCCAGCCAUACCGCGUGGGUGAAGAAGGCCUUCGGGUUGUAAAGACCUUUUGUUGGGAAAGAAAAGCAGCAGGUUAAUACCCAGCUGUUCUGACGGUACCCAAAGAAUAAGCACCGGCUAACUUCGUG